UGAUGAGUCCGGGGUUCGGAUUCGUAUUGAGCAGGGGAUCAGCUUCUUGAAGGGCAUGUUUCAUAUCCUUGAUGCACCCCUUCUUCUACAGCCCCUGAAGUCUCUGCAAGAUGUUGUCUGUAGGUUGGGAGGAGAAGAUUGGAGGUGUGAUCCGCCUUGCAAAAGGCUGGGCGGGGAAAGGUUUGUAGCUGUUCCGUAUUUGUGAAUAACAAUGGUCAAGUGUCUGAUUAGGAAAGUUAAUGUGUUGGUGGUAUUUCGUCAAAAUGUUCCUCAUAUUAGCCCUAUUGAAGUCACCAACAACAAUAGAAGCUGCCACGUGGUGAGCGUCCUACUCAAUAUAGGUCGUAUAGGUCCUCUAGCACGUGCAUUUAAUCCGC
This is a long non-coding RNA of Esox lucius (northern pike), 377 nucleotides long. NCBI's taxonomy places the organism in Eukaryota, Metazoa, Chordata, Actinopteri, Esociformes, Esocidae. The record is from Ensembl.